ACACACAUACACACACACAUACACACAUACAAACCCAGAUGAUUACAUAACCUCCUGGCGGAGUUAAUAAAAAUAUCAUUAUGGAUUAGCGCACAAGCUUCCGCUUGCGCUUCCGUAUAUAUCUGGUAUGGAAACGCGAAAAAUGUUUUCAGUAUUUUUUAAAUAGUGCACAAUGUAAAGAAUGCAAUACAAUUAUAAUACGUUUAUUGUUUAUUGUGUUCUGUAUGUAAUAACACAACAGGAAUAACCCACAAAGUCCUAUAUAACAAUCUAGACACAAACAAUGAACCAUUAUGUACUGUUUAACAAACGAGCAGGAAUGUUUGCGCGAGUGGCUUUAAACCUAAUGAAACACGACCUGUGAGUUUAUUAAACGACUUCAAACACGACUACAAAUUCAAUAGAUAUACUGCCUUAUUAGUAUUCUUUAUAUAAAGAAUACUAAUGAGGACACGACUACAAUAGAUACUGCCUUAUUAGUAUUCUUUAUAUAAAGAAUACUAAUUAGGAG
Molecule: non-coding RNA, 511 nt
Organism: Paramuricea clavata
Lineage: Eukaryota; Metazoa; Cnidaria; Anthozoa; Malacalcyonacea; Plexauridae
Source: the annotation of a GenBank genome assembly